UACGUAGGGGGCAAGCGUUGUCCGGAAUCAUUGGGCGUAAAGCGCGUGUAGGCGGCUUGGUAAGUCCGCUCUGAAAGCCCGGGGCUCAACCCCGGGAGGCGGGUGGAUACUGUCAAGCUCGAGUCCGGAAGAGGCGAGUGGAAUUCCUGGUGUAGCGGUGAAAUGCGUAGAUAUCGGGAGGAACACCAGCGGUGUAGACGGCUUACUGGACCAUGACUGACGCUGAGGCACGAAAGCGUGGGGAGCAAACAGG
This 253-nucleotide ribosomal RNA is filed under the name uncultured bacterium. Its description in RNAcentral is "partial 16S ribosomal RNA". It matches the Rfam family "Bacterial small subunit ribosomal RNA", at positions 524 to 776 of the family's 1533-position model. The record is from RNAcentral.